CCCUUAGAUGUUCUGGGCCGCACGCGCGCUACACUGACGAAGUCAGCGAGCAUGUCCUACGCCGACAGGUGCGGGGAAUCUUGUCAAACUUCGUCGUGAUGGGGAUUGAUUAUUGAAAUUCUUGAUCAUCAACGAGGAAUUCCUAGUAAGCGCAAGUCAGCAGCUUGCGUUGAUUACGUCUCUGCCCUUUGUACACACCGCCCGUCGCUACUACCGAUUGAAUGGUUUAGUGAGAUCUUCGGAUUGGCGCCACUGCGGCUCAGCAAUGGGCUCGGUGGAUGCCGAAAAGUUGAUCAAACUUGAUCAUUUAGAGGAAGUAAAAGUCGUAACA
RNAcentral lists this ribosomal RNA (331 nucleotides) under uncultured eukaryote. Its description in RNAcentral is "partial 18S ribosomal RNA". It matches the Rfam family "Eukaryotic small subunit ribosomal RNA", at positions 1470 to 1796 of the family's 1831-position model. The record is from RNAcentral.